This 197-nucleotide small nucleolar RNA is filed under the name Nicotiana sylvestris (wood tobacco). Its description in RNAcentral is "Plant small nucleolar RNA U3". It matches the Rfam family "Plant small nucleolar RNA U3". From Rfam's summary of the family: Small nucleolar RNAs (snoRNAs) are involved in the processing and modification of rRNA in the nucleolus. The record is from Rfam by way of RNAcentral. Lineage: Eukaryota; Viridiplantae; Streptophyta; Magnoliopsida; Solanales; Solanaceae.
ACUACCUUACUUGAACAGGACCUGUUCUAUAGGCUCGUACCAUUGUAUCCUUGAGUCCUAAGGAGAUAGGAAACCAGGUCUGGUGGUUGAAUCCCCAACAUCGGUGUGCUGGGAUGGUCUAAUAGUUGUCUAUCAACUCUUCAAUCUUUUUUCGCUAUGGUUUUAUUUGCUAGAGAGAAUCAAAAUGUAGGUAGACU